GAUGAACGCUAGCGGCAGGCUUAACACAUGCAAGUCGAGGGGUAGGGUAGCAAUACUUGAGACCGGCGCACGGGUGCGUAACGCGUAUGCAAUCUACCUUUUACAGAGGGAUAGCCCAGAGAAAUUUGGAUUAAUACCUCAUAGUAUACAGACUCGGCAUCGAGAUUGUAUUAAAGUCACAACGGUAAAGAUGAGCAUGCGUCCCAUUAGCUAGUUGGUAAGGUAACGGCUUACCAAGGCUACGAUGGGUAGGGGUCCUGAGAGGGAGAUCCCCCACACUGGUACUGAGACACGGACCAGACUCCUACGGGAGGCAGCAGUGAGGAAUAUUGGACAAUGGGCGCAAGCCUGAUCCAGCCAUGCCGCGUGCAGGAUGACGGUCCUA
Molecule: ribosomal RNA, 385 nt
Filed under: uncultured bacterium
Lineage: Bacteria
Description: bacterial SSU rRNA
Rfam family: Bacterial small subunit ribosomal RNA
Source: RNAcentral